GAAUAUUGGGCAAUGGGCGAAAGCCUGACCCAGCCACGCCGCGUGAGUGAUGAAGGCCUUCGGGUCGUAAAGCUCUGUGGGGAGGGACGAACAAGGUGCGGGCUAAUCACAGCGCCCCUGACGGUACCUCCUUAGCAAGCACCGGCUAACCCUGUGCCAGCAGCCGCGGUAAUACAGGGGGUGCAAACGUUGCUCGGAAUUAUUGGGCGUAAAGCGCGCGUAGGCGGUUGCUUAAGUCGGAUGUGAAAGCCCUUGGCUUAACCGAGGAAGUGCAUCCGAAACUGAGCAGCUAGAGUACGAAAGAGGGUCGCGGAAUUCCCGGUGUAGAGGUGAAAUUCGUAGAUAUCGGGAGGAACACCGGUGGCGAAGGCGGCGACCUGGGUCGAGACUGACGCUGAGGCGCGAAAGCGUGGGGAGCAAAC
RNAcentral lists this ribosomal RNA (422 nucleotides) under uncultured bacterium. RNAcentral's name for it is "bacterial SSU rRNA". It matches the Rfam family "Bacterial small subunit ribosomal RNA", at positions 359 to 773 of the family's 1533-position model. The record is from RNAcentral.